AGAGUUUGAUCCUGGCUCAGGAUGAACGCUAGCGGCAGGCUUAAUACAUGCAAGUCGAGGGGCAGCACGUCUUAGGAUGGUGGCGACCGGCGCACGGGUGCGUAACACGUAUGCAACCUACCUUUAACUGGGGAAUAGCCCCGAGAAAUCGGGAUUAAUACCCCAUAAUAUUCAUCUUUCGCAUGUCUGAUGAAUUAAAACUCCGGUGGUUAAAGAUGGGCAUGCGCGACAUUAGUUAGUUGGUGAGGUAACGGCUCACCAAGACCGCGAUGUCUAGGGGUUCUGAGAGGAAUAUCCCCCACACUGGUACUGAGACACGGACCAGACUCCUACGGGAGGCAGCAGUAAGGAAUAUUGGUCAAUGGGCGAAAGCCUGAACCAGCCAUGCCGCGUGCAGGAUGACGGCCCUAUGGGUUGUAAACUGCUUUUAUAUAGGAAGAAACUCCCGCUCGUGAGCGGGACUGACGGUACUAUACGAAUAAGGACCGGCUAACUCCGUGCCAGCAGCCGCGGUAAUACGGAGGGUCCAAGCGUUAUCCGGAUUUAUUGGGUUUAAAGGGUGCGCAGGCGGACCGAUAAGUCAGUGGUGAAAUCCUACAGCUCAACUGUAGAACUGCCAUUGAUACUGUCGAUCUUGAGUACAGUUGAAGUGGGCGGAAUGUAUCAUGUAGCGGUGAAAUGCAUAGAUAUGAUACAGAACUCCGAUAGCGAAGGCAGCUCACUAACCUGUAACUGACGCUCAGGCACGAAAGCGUGGGGAGCAAACAGGAUUAGAUACCCUGGUAGUCCACGCCGUAAACGAUGAUCACUCGUUGUUGGCAAUACAUCGUCAGCGACUGAACGAAAGCAUUAAGUGAUCCACCUGGGAAGUACGAUCGCAAGGUUGAAACUCAAAGGAAUUGACGGGGGCCCGCACAAGCGGAGGAGCAUGUGGUUUAAUUCGAUGAUACGCGAGGAACCUUACCUGGGCUUAAAUGUAAAUGACCUCCCGUGAAAACGGGAUUCUCUUCGGAGCAUUUUACAAGGUGCUGCAUGGUUGUCGUCAGCUCGUGCCGUGAGGUGUCGGGUUAAGUCCCAUAACGAGCGCAACCCCUAUUCUUAGUUGCCAUCAGAUAAUGCUGGGGACUCUAAGGAAACUGCCUACGCAAGUAGUGAGGAAGGUGGGGAUGACGUCAAAUCAGCACGGCCCUUAUGUCCAGGGCUACACACGUGCUACAAUGGUCGGUACAGAGGGUCGCUACCUGGUGACAGGAUGCUAAUCUCAAAAACCGAUCUCAGUUCGGAUCGAAGUCUGCAACUCGACUUCGUGAAGCUGGAUUCGCUAGUAAUCGCAUAUCAGCAAUGGUGCGGUGAAUACGUUCCCGGGCCUUGUACACAC
Molecule: ribosomal RNA, 1378 nt
Filed under: metagenome
Description: bacterial SSU rRNA
Rfam family: Bacterial small subunit ribosomal RNA
Source: RNAcentral